UACGUAGGGGCAAGCGUUGUCCGGAGUUACUGGGCGUAAAGCGCACGCAGGCGGUCUUUUAAGUUUGGAGUGACAGUUGGUGGCUUAACUGCCAAAGUGCUUCGAAACUGACAGACUUGAGGGCUUCAGAGGGACACGGAAUUCCGGGUGGAGUGGUGAAAUGCGUAGAGAUCCGGAGGAACACCAAAGGCGAAGGCAGUGUCCUGGGGAGUACCUGACGCUCAGGUGCGAAAGCCAGGGAGCGAACGGG
RNAcentral lists this ribosomal RNA (250 nucleotides) under uncultured bacterium. RNAcentral's name for it is "partial 16S ribosomal RNA". It matches the Rfam family "Bacterial small subunit ribosomal RNA", at positions 524 to 776 of the family's 1533-position model. The record is from RNAcentral.